Raphanus sativus (radish) is the source of this 2294-nucleotide long non-coding RNA. RefSeq lists it as uncharacterized. The record is from RefSeq and is a predicted model, not a curated record. The transcript has 5 exons. Lineage: Eukaryota; Viridiplantae; Streptophyta; Magnoliopsida; Brassicales; Brassicaceae.
CCCGAUCUUGCAUAUCCCAAAUCUUCUCUGGGACUCCACGACUUUUCAGCUUCGUCUUCACCGGUUCUACUGUAACUCCAUUACACCGUUACCGCCAGAUCUUCUUCAUCAAUCAGCACGGUCUUUAAUCCCUUAUUUAUUGUUUCGUUACCUCCCUUUCUAUCUCCUCAUAUAUAAAUUGGUGCCAAAUCUUCAAAGCAAAUACGCAAAAUAUUCAAUACAUCAAUCUCCAAUGAAACGAUUGCAAGGCUAUUAUGUUAAUGUUAAAUGAAGCUGCUCAAUGGACAGUCUCUAAUUGACCUGACCACCCCCAUCCUCAACGAAGUGAAGAUAGCAACAACCCGGCGUGUUAUAGUUCAUCUGCAAUCACAAGAGGCUGUUAUGAAGCUGUAACUUUGGGACCAGGCUCCAACAGACUCUGCAACAAAUUCACAGCAUAUGAAAACACUCACACUGUGCUUUUAGUCACUACAGUGAACACAAAAUGUCUUGGAGGUAAUUGUUUAUCCCUCUAGCGUAACAACUUCACUGAGAAUCAUAACAUUUUAUAUUUUCCAAAUUGUUUGUACUCAGGUUGCUAAUGUGAUAUAUACUUAUUUGAUCAUCAUUGCGGAAAGUCUCUGCUUCUGUUUAUAACGUUAGCUUGGUGAAUAUUUGUUCUAUCUAUUUCAAAUUUAUAGAGCUCUAACUGGGAUAUUUUGGUUGGCCUUUUGUUCUCUUGCUAUAAAUCAUCUAGCUUUUGCAAAACCGUGUUUUUCUUCAAACAGUGUUAGUGUUGAUCAAUGCUUGAUAGGUUGUGUUUGAUUACUUAUCUCAACUUUGUAUUAUAUUGAACGCAAAUUUCCAUCUUGCCAAAAUUGAAACCGUUGAUGAAUCGGCUAUAGAUAUUUUUUUCAUACUGGAGCUUGAUCCUCUGCAAUACUUAUUAAUUAAUUCACACUCUCAUAACGUUUUAUGCGUUUAGAGAAUGAAUUAUGUAUAUGAGAGUGAAUUUGUGUACGUACCCCCAUCUUAGACGUGCAUUCAUUCUUAAGUUGAUCAUAUAUACUAUGUUGCCUCGUAACUCCAAUCUGCAUUAUUAGACACCAAAAGUUGAGAAUAUCACAAGUGUGUAAAAAGAAAUAAAUUAUUUUUAUUCUUCAAAUGGUUGUAUUGCUCAUUUUGCAAAAAUUAGAAAAAAAUACAAAAAAAUCUCACUUGCUGGAUCAUUGUGUUUGUGUAUGAAUUAGACAUUGAUAGUAGAGACUUAGGUUUAGAGGUGGCCUUGCUGUAAUAGGUUUUUUCCCCAUAUCUCUAAAUUAACAAGAGUUUGAUAUAUGCAGUAUUAGCACGUAAAUACAUGAAUCUAAAUAUAAAAGAAGUUUACUGAUCUCCACUUUGUGUGAUUUUGUAAUGACAUGCCGAAUAUAUAUUCUUGCCCUCAGCUCAAAGUCAUCCUCACGGGUUUUCAUGGACUAUGAUCUCCAACCAAUCAACGAUUAUUGCAACUGGUUGGGGUUUGUCUAGGAAUUAUGUUUGACAGUCCCAAGUGAUACUCAAAUAUAAUCUCACUCCAGUUUGUUUUGGAGUGCAUAGCCACAAUUGAUGAUGUUGUAUGACUUUGCUUAGGAUUACAUUGCCUGCAGUGACUAAGGCCACCAGAAGUCCUUCGUUGAUGUGUCCACAAUCUGGCAAUGUAGCCGGUACCCGUUGAUGCAAUGUAAGAGUUAACAGGUUCCUUGCGAAAGUUUCUGUCUACUACAACAACGACCAGGCUGUUUUCUUCCUACUUGGUGAUACAGGUCGUGAGUUGACUGGGAAGCCUGACUCAGAAUUAGUCGACAGCUACUUUUGAGCCAGAGAUUGAGCCAUUUUUCGUUUGUUUAGCGAAGAUGGUUCAGACUUAGUAGAGGAGAACACCCUAUCGCUGCAAUGGAAACAACGACGAUACGGGCUGUCACUGAAGGUGGAAACUUGGAAGCCACAUACACAAAUGGUAUCCUUUCAUUGGGUUCUAUAUAAAGUACCUAAUGAGUUUUCAUCAGCUAAUUGGAUACAGGGUGGCUAGCUCUCUAUGGCGUGCAAUUGCAUGAUGCAGAAGCCAAGCCGGUACUCCUAUGCUCCUGCUACGAAAACUGAAAAAACAUUCAGUACCUCGACUAAAUUGUUUACAGUCAUAUUUGCUUACUCAUUGCUCUUUCUUUUAUAUUUUAAUUUCUAUUGAAACGUGGCCAUAUUACUUUUAGCAUAGCACACUACUAAAUGUGGUCUUUUGUGUGUCUUUCUUUUUAUUAAGCCAUUUCUUAUGCUCAUUA